This 292-nucleotide ribosomal RNA is filed under the name uncultured bacterium. RNAcentral's name for it is "partial 16S ribosomal RNA". The record is from RNAcentral.
GGACUACUGGGGUAUCUAAUCCCGUUUGCUCCCCUGGCUUUCGCAUCUCAGUGUCAGUUUCGGACCAGAAAGCCGCCUUCGCCACCGGUGUUCCUCCCAAUAUCUACGCAUUUCACCGCUACACUGGGAAUUCCGCUUUCCUCUUCCGUACUCAAGUCCUGCAGUUUCAAAGGCAAUGACCUGGUUGAGCCGGGCCAUUUCACCUUUGACUUACAAAACCACCUACAUGCCCUUUACACCCAAUAAAUCCGGACAACGUUUGCCACCUCUGUAUUACCGCGGCUGCUGGCAC